UGAGAGUCUUUUAGUGAAAUAGUGGACCACGUCACUUGUCCACCAUGAGGACCUUAUAAUUUCUCCACUACCAUAGGUGCCUCUCUCUCAAACGUAGACCCAAGCUCGACCAUGGGUGCCAACGUUUUAAAUCUUCAACCCAGCCCCCAUAUCAGAUCAUUCUCUCUAGAUAGCAAAGAGUAGAUGAGAGAAUCAAAAGUGUGUCCAACAAAGGUUACUAGAAGAUCUAGGAAGUAAAACUCAUUCCAAGUUCACUGUAUUGGACAAGGGAACUAAAAUCUGUUCUAAUUUGAAAGAGAUUAGUGACUCAAAUAUAUUGGCACCACACCAAAUCCAAGAUAAGGUUCUAAAGGAUGGCUAGAAGAAGAACGAGAAGACUAUAUCUAGGUAAUACUAACCAUUAUGCUUGCAUCUGAAUUGGUUAUGAAUAAAUCGAAAAUCAUAUUCUACAAGUUUUGUAAGAAAAUAUUGUGGAUAUGAAUGAGUUUCGUAGUGGAGAUAGUAUUGAAGAGCCUCCUAACUCUCAAAAUCUGACAACAAUCCUACAGAAUUCUUAUAUAUGGAGAGUUGUCAGUUGGAAGGGAAAUAAGGAGGGUGGUCUUGGUAGGAGUAAAGUAAUGCUCCCCGAUGAAAUGCUGAUGGAGGUUGAGACAUUUCUUACAACUCAGGUACUCAAAACAGUGUCUACUAUGUUGAUAACUUUGAAGUUGAGGACAGGAUAUCAAAUGCUCUGAUUUAAUGUUCAAAGGUCUUUUGAAUUUUCACAAGAUAAUAAAUCUUUUUAGUACUUAGAAUGCCCUUUAGAGAAGGUUGUUAAUGCUGACCUUCACAAUAAGGUCUGCUCAUGAUUUGUAUGUUCUAAAUUGCAGAGGAUGAUGAAGCCUUUAAUGUACUAUACUAUAUUGCUUUAUUUUAGUAAACUGUCAAAACAAAAUAACACUUAACUUAUAUUUCUCUCUCUCUCUUAGCUUUCAAGCCAUUGUUGAUAAGCAACUUCUAUUCCUAACAAUGUCACUCUCUCUUUUAUGAUUCUUGAUAUUUAAGUUGUCCAAAGCCAUGCCUCCCAAUUUAUGAGAUUGCUAAUUAA
Long non-coding RNA from Quercus lobata, 1087 nucleotides. RefSeq lists it as uncharacterized. The record is from RefSeq and is a predicted model, not a curated record. The transcript has 5 exons. Lineage: Eukaryota; Viridiplantae; Streptophyta; Magnoliopsida; Fagales; Fagaceae.